GUUAAAACAGAAGACAAAAGCCAGGCAGCUGACAGAAAGUUAGCCUGAUGUCACACUUUGUGCCAAUGCUGCCGGGAUAUGUUUUGGCCCACCCUGACCCUGCAAUGGAUUUUGGACACAUGGAUGAAACCAUCAAAAUGAGUGAAACUUAACCUUACCGUAAAUGGUAGGACAGCAUUGUCACUGCAUUGCGACAUGCUGCAGAAUUUCCACAUGAACAUACAUCAAAACGCACAUGGGCUUACUACAUGGAAACACCCCCAACUUCUUGUUACCUAGCAGCCUCCUUUCCUG
Molecule: long non-coding RNA, 294 nt
Organism: Polypterus senegalus (gray bichir)
Lineage: Eukaryota; Metazoa; Chordata; Cladistia; Polypteriformes; Polypteridae
Exons: 3
Source: RefSeq, a predicted model, not a curated record